CAGCCGCCGCGGUAAAACGGAGGGGGCCAGCGUUGUUCGGAAUUACUGGGCGUAAAGCGCACGUAGGCGGCUUGGUAAGUUAGAGGUGAAAGCUUGGAGCUCAACUCCAGAAUUGCCUUUAAGACUGCCGAGCUAGCAGGUGAGAGAGGUAAGUGGAAUUCCGAGUGUAGAGGUGAAAUUCGUAGAUAUUCGGAAGAACACCAGUGGCGAAGGCGGCUUACUGGCUCAUACUGGACGCUGAGGUGCGAAAGCGUGGGGAGCAAACAGGAUUAGAUACCCCCGUAGUCCCUGUCUCUUAUAA
Molecule: ribosomal RNA, 301 nt
Filed under: uncultured bacterium
Lineage: Bacteria
Description: partial 16S ribosomal RNA
Rfam family: Bacterial small subunit ribosomal RNA
Source: RNAcentral